CUAUGGGCUGCAGCAGUGGGGAAUAUUGGACAAUGGGCGCAAGCCUGAUCCAGCAAUGCCGCGUGAGUGAAGACGGCCUUAGGGUUGUAAAACUCUUUCGCUAGGGAAGAUAAUGACUGUACCUAGUAAAGAAGUCCCGGCUAACUCCGUGCCAGCAGCCGCGGUAAUACGGAGGGGACUAGCGUUGUUCGGAAUUACUGGGCGUAAAGAGUUCGUAGGCGGACUGACAAGUUAGAGGUGAAAUCCCAGGGCUCAACCCUGGAACUGCCUUUAAAACUGUCAGUCUAGAGACCGGAAGAGGUUAGGGGAAUACCUAGUGUAGAGGUGAAAUUCGUAGAUAUUAGGUGGAACACCAGUGGCGAAGGCGCCUAACUGGUCCGGUACUGACGCUGAGGAACGAAAGCGUGGGGAGCAAACAGGAUUAGAUACCCGUGUAGUC
RNAcentral lists this ribosomal RNA (439 nucleotides) under uncultured bacterium. RNAcentral describes it as "partial 16S ribosomal RNA". It matches the Rfam family "Bacterial small subunit ribosomal RNA", at positions 339 to 795 of the family's 1533-position model. The record is from RNAcentral.